Eupeodes corollae is the source of this 584-nucleotide long non-coding RNA. RefSeq lists it as uncharacterized. The record is from RefSeq and is a predicted model, not a curated record. The transcript is spliced from 2 exons. Lineage: Eukaryota; Metazoa; Arthropoda; Insecta; Diptera; Syrphidae.
CAUAAAGAAAGUUAAUAAAACUUAAUAUUAUUGUUGUUAAACUGCACAUGUGACGUAGUGGUACUAAUUUUAAUUGAAAAUACAACUCAAGUCGAAUUAGAUCGUUAAAUUAUACCAAAUCCUGUUUUGAAUUCUUUAAAUUAUUGUCUUUGUUAAAAUCUUUAAUUUUAUAAACAAAAUUUGUUGUAUAAAAGGAGCGUCAAAAUUCGAUAUUGUCAUCAGUCGCUUUGUGUUUAUCAAUCAAUCACAAAACUACCUUUAUAAUCAACAUGAAGUUCUUCAUCUUUUUUGCCUUGUUCCUUGUUGCCGUCAGUGCAGGAGGUCUUCCACUUGCUCCUAGGCAAACAGUUCUUGUAAAAACAGUUCCAGUAGUACAGAAAGUCAUACCUAUUGCACCCGUUAGGAAAGUCGUCCAAUUGAAACCUUCAUAUGGUAUUUCAGGAUAAGGCAAACCAUUUUAAAGUUCAAUCCAGAAGAAAAUAAGAACAACCCGAAAAUCUUAUUAACUAAUUAAACCUUCAAGAUGAAAUUUUGUAUAUGAAAAAAACAAAAAUAAAUGUAAUUUAAGUUAUCAGCAUUCAAAA